UCAAUUUCAGUCCAUAACAAUACGAAAAUAACAUAUCAGUCACUUAAAUGCUAUAGCAGUUUACAUAGCAGCUCCAAAAAUCCAAAUAGCAGUCCUUGAGUUUAUAUUAGAACUAAUUAGGCAAGGUUUAGUACUACUUCAUCAAAACAGUUAUUAUAGACAUGGUUUAAUACCCUUGCAUCAAAACAAUACCAAGGGAUGAGAUCUCUGUAUUUCUAAA
This 220-nucleotide long non-coding RNA is filed under the name Panax ginseng (ginseng). Its description in RNAcentral is "long non-coding RNA (PGIN_LNC013595)". Lineage: Eukaryota; Viridiplantae; Streptophyta; Magnoliopsida; Apiales; Araliaceae. The record is from RNAcentral.